Molecule: ribosomal RNA, 497 nt
Filed under: uncultured bacterium
Lineage: Bacteria
Description: partial 16S ribosomal RNA
Rfam family: Bacterial small subunit ribosomal RNA
Source: RNAcentral
GAUGAACGCUGGCGGCGUGCCUAAUACAUGCAAGUCGAGCGGACGGACGAGAAGCUUGCUUCUCUGAUGUUAGCGGCGGACGGGUGAGUAACACGUGGAUAACCUACCUAUAAGACUGGGAUAACUUCGGGAAACCGGAGCUAAUACCGGAUAAUAUUUUGAACCGCAUGGUUCAAACGUGAAAGACGGUCUUGCUGUCACUUAUAGAUGGAUCCGCGCUGCAUUAGCUAGUUGGUAAGGUAACGGCUUACCAAGGCAACGAUGCAUAGCCGACCUGAGAGGGUGAUCGGCCACACUGGAACUGAGACACGGUCCAGACUCCUACGGGAGGCAGCAGUAGGGAAUCUUCCGCAAUGGGCGAAAGCCUGACGGAGCAACGCCGCGUGAGUGAUGAAGGUCUUCGGAUCGUAAAACUCUGUUAUUAGGGAAGAACAUAUGUGUAAGUAACUGUGCACAUCUUGACGGUACCUAAUCAGAAAGCCACGGCUAACUACGUG